AUUGCCACUGUAUAUGCAUUAGAAGACCAGCAGAGUUCAGCCCUUUCUGGAGAUGACAUGCCUUGAAUGUUCACCAUAUAUUCAAGCGGGGGCAAUGGAGAGUCCCUUUCAGCUGCAGCAUCCUGUGGCCUUCAGACAACUGAAAUAUCAGUUAUGGAACAGCAACAGGCAGGAGUCAAAGUAUGUGGAGCUAUUUCUAUGACUGAAGAGAAGACAGCUGGUCAGCCACAAAUAUCAUUCUUACAAAUGCAGUUCCAAUAGUCACAUUAUGAAUUAAAAACAGAAGAAUGCAGCUAUCACAUGAGGAACACUCAGCUGGUCCCCUGUUGAACCAGGAGCAAGAGCUGUGCACUCUGGGGGAGGGACGCUGCUCUGUUAGCUGUCAUGACGAAUCCUGAUCCUUUCCUGGUCCUGCCUGUGAGAGGGAGCUGCAGUAGCUCUGGGGGAAGCCUUAAGUCCUUACAAGGAGUGUGGGAGUUUCAAGACUUUUUCUUCCUCUUCUUACCCCCACUGAAGCCAAUUCAGAGUUCAUCCUGUCUGAAUUCACUGUCUGGGGAGGAUGUGCUUUACUGUAGGUGGCUCUGAACUCAGGUUGCAUUUAUUACACUGAUGGCAAUUACAGAGCAGGCAUUGGAAUAGACUGAUGUUCAGUGAGCUGGCCUGCUUGCAAGUUUGCAUGAAGCUUCUCUGCUCUAAGAAACUCAAAGCAUUUUCAAAGAAAACUGAAAUUCCCUCUCACUAUUUUACAAAGGCAGAAACUGAAACCCAGAGAGCUGUGACUUCCCCCACCUCAUCGAGUGAGGUGAUAACAGCUACAGAAAUAGAAUUCGUGACUUCCAGGCCCUCUCCUCCUCCUGACUACUAACACAUUUUGCCACCCAAGAAGACCAUUUGCCAUGUCAUCAUCGAGGCAUAUCUGUGUAACACAGUUUGUCCAUGUAUAAAGCCUUUGUUUUUUGUAAGCCUCACUUCCAUAUCUAUGGGGAAUAACAGCACUUCACUGCUUCAAAGGGGUGGAGAGAAUAACUGAACUCAAGGCUCUGCAAUAUGCAUAUAUGGUAGUGAACACCUUGCAAGUAUUAAUACUUAUAUUUGGAGACUGUACUAUUAAUUCUGUGCCUGACCGCUGCUGUUCAAAGUAUAUACAUUAAUUCCUUCAGCUCAAAUUCUCUGUCUUCCCUCCCUUUUCCAUCCUAGCAGCGUUACAGACACUAACAACAGGACUAUCAGAACCUCUCAGUAUAAGGCUGCAAAAGGAGUGUGUUCAAAGCCAACAUUUUCCAGGUGAUUCACUGAAUUGCACCAAAGCAUCCUGAGCAUUCCUGUACCUCUUGACAAGCAUCUGCAGGAUGUCAGUCAGGCUUU
This is a long non-coding RNA of Corvus hawaiiensis (hawaiian crow), 1365 nucleotides long. RefSeq lists it as uncharacterized. The record is from RefSeq and is a predicted model, not a curated record. The transcript is spliced from 3 exons. NCBI's taxonomy places the organism in Eukaryota, Metazoa, Chordata, Aves, Passeriformes, Corvidae.